This 248-nucleotide ribosomal RNA is filed under the name uncultured Ruminiclostridium sp. Its description in RNAcentral is "partial 16S ribosomal RNA". It matches the Rfam family "Bacterial small subunit ribosomal RNA", at positions 524 to 771 of the family's 1533-position model. Lineage: Bacteria; Bacillati; Bacillota; Clostridia; Eubacteriales; Oscillospiraceae. The record is from RNAcentral.
UACGUAGGGAGCGAGCGUUGUCCGGAAUUACUGGGUGUAAAGGGCGUGCAGCCGGGAAGGCAAGUCAGAUGUGAAAUCCCGCGGCUCAACUGCGGAACUGCAUUUGAAACUGUUUUUCUUGAGUACUGGAGAGGCAGGCGGAAUUCCUAGUGUAGCGGUGAAAUGCGUAGAUAUUAGGAGGAACACCAGUGGCGAAGGCGGCCUGCUGGACAGCAACUGACGGUGAGGCGCGAAAGCGUGGGGAGCAA